AUUGAUCAUUCAAUUGAUUUUUAUUACUUGGUAUCGAGCGGCGGGGCUGCCUGCUGCUGUGUAAUCUGUGGGGUUUUUUUUUUAUUAUUUUCUGGCUAUUAUACUAGACUUAUGAAACAACACUGAUACAGGGCGUUGUUUGAGUGGCACAUCACCUGGUGUAGCGUACCGCGUCACCUCAACUCUCCAAAAUUCCCAUCAGUGCUAUUUUCUCCUCUAGAGAAAGUGCCUCUUUUUUUGUAGACCUUUCUGCUGGAGCUGUAUACCCAGCGGUGGUGUCUCAGAGGCUGAAAUGAGGCAGCUUCUAAGCUUCUGCUCUGCUGAUGUCGACUUGCACGAGCUCAUGGGCUUGGUGAGCUUCCAGCUCGUAGUCGCUCGUCGCCUUUUUUGGCUCUCCUCCUGGGAUUUGCUGCAUCUUGAUCCAGGUAUCGACACCCGCCAGGAGCAGCGAUCGAUCACGGUAUCAAACCACUCAUCUUUGCAAAAAGAAAAUAAGCUGAUAAAUGGUGUUUGCUCUACUAACUGCCAUUUUCUGCCAAGCUCCUGGGGGACAGGCGAAAGGGAAGAAGAGGUCCUGCUAUUUCUCUGCUGCUUGCAAUGGAAAGAUAAGAACAGGUGCCCACAAACCUGCCAGUUGAGGAAUUAAGCGUUCAAGAUGAAUUUUGAUGUUAAUGAGGCACGCAGAGCGUGCGACGGGCAGCCCCAGAGGAUUCAUCGGGGGCUUGUGCCAGAUACUUGUUGAAAUAAUUGGAAAGACUUCCACUGACUUCAGGAAGCUCCGGUUCCCUUCCUAAUUGCACCCUCCCAUCUUUCUCAGGGACUUGAACCCAGGAAGCUGGAUCUGCUGUGCUGAUGCACCCACAGCUCCCUAAUCUUCUUUCUGUGCCAGAGCUCUGGAAAACCAGGCUGUGUCCCAGCUGGGCUUCGUUCUUUCUGUGCCAGAGCUCUGGAAAACCAGUUUGUAUCUGUGCUUCAGUCUUCUGGGUAUGUCAGUUACACGCAUCAGGGCCUCAGUUUCCCCAUCUGCAAAGAUAAAGGUAAUGAUAGCUGCUUCUUUUAAAAUAAUUCCUGAGGACUUCCCUUUUGUUGCACAGAGGAGCUGAUUGCUUCCAUUGUUAGUUUGGGUGACUGGACAGCAAGAAAUGGAGGUGAACAAAAGCAAAAUGGAUAUAUUUCAUCAUCAUCAGGGCAGCUACAUCGAUGAUCCUCUGAGAACUUGUAUGUUGUGGCAGACAAAGGUGAGGCCACUGUUGGGCCAGCACCAGUUACCUUCGCUAAAUUGUCUCUUGGUUGUAAACAGCCUAUAUUUAGGAUAGGAUCUUUGAAAGCUGUCAAGAUUGACUGACUGUGAUCCUGUUGAAAUCAAGUGCCAAAACUCCCUGCAUUAGGAAGGAAUGUAGACUGCUGCAGACCCUGUUGAAAUCAAGUGCCAAAACUCCCUGCGUUAGGAAGGAAUGUAGACUGUAUGGUUGGACUCGGUGAUCUCAAAGGUCCCUUCCAACCAGGAAGAUUCUGUGAUUCUGUCAAUGUAAGACUCUCUUUGUGGUAAAGAGCACUUCUGUGAUUCUGUCAAUGUAAGACUCUCUUCAGACCUUUGUGGUGAAGAGCAUCCUGAAUGCACAAUCACUCUUCCCCGUUAAGGAUGU
Molecule: long non-coding RNA, 1646 nt
Filed under: Calidris pugnax (ruff)
Lineage: Eukaryota; Metazoa; Chordata; Aves; Charadriiformes; Scolopacidae
Description: lncRNA (ENSCPUG00000016442.1)
Source: RNAcentral